GGACGAUAAUGACGGUACUUUAGGAGGAAGCUCCGGCUAACUACGUGCCAGCAGCCGCGGUAAUACGUAGGGAGCGAGCGUUGUCCGGAAUUACUGGGUGUAAAGGGAGCGUAGGCGGGACUGCAAGUCAGAUGUGAAAUACCGGGGCUUAACCCCGGAGCUGCAUUUGAAACUGUGGUUCUUGAGUGAAGUAGAGGCAAGCGGAAUUCCUGGUGUAGCGGUGAAAUGCGUAGAUAUCAGGAGGAACACCGGUGGCGAAGGCGGCUUGCUGGGCUUUUACUGACGCUGAGGCUCGAAAGCGUGGGUAGCAAACAGGAUUAGAUACCCUGGUAGUCCACGCUGUAAACGAUGAUUACUAGGUGUGGGGGGACUGACCCCUUCCGUGCCGCAGUUAACACAAUAAGUAAUCCACCUGGGGAGUACGGCCGCAAGGUUGAAACUCAAAGGAAUUGACGGGGGCCCGCACAAGCAGUGGAGUAUGUGGUUUAAUUCGAAGCAACGCGAAGAACCUUACCAGGUCUUGACAUCGUGCGCAUAGCAUAGAGAUAUGUGAAAUUCCUUCGGGAACGCAUAGACAGGUGGUGCAUGGUUGUCGUCAGCUCGUGUCGUGAGAUGUUGGGUUAAGUCCCGCAACGAGCGCAACCCUUACCUUUAGUUGCUACGCAAGAGCACUCUAAAGGGACUGCCGUUGACAAAACGGAGGAAGGUGGGGAUGACGUCAAAUCAUCAUGCCCCUUAUGACCUGGGCUACACACGUACUACAAUGGCAAUCAACAAAGAGAAGCAAGACAGUGAUGUGGAGCGAAUCUCAAAAAAUUGUCCCAGUUCGCAUUGC
Molecule: ribosomal RNA, 835 nt
Filed under: uncultured bacterium
Lineage: Bacteria
Description: bacterial SSU rRNA
Rfam family: Bacterial small subunit ribosomal RNA
Source: RNAcentral